UGCGAUACAGGGUGACAGCCCCGUACACAAAAAUGCACAUAUUGUGAGCUUGAUGAGUAGGGCGGGACACGUGGUAUCCUGUCUGAAUAUGGGGGGACCAUCCUCCAAGGCUAAAUACUCCUGACUGACCGAUAGUGAACCAGUACCGUGAGGGAAAGGCGAAAAGAACCCCGGCGAGGGGAGUGAAAAAGAACCUGAAACCGUGUACGUACAAGCAGUGGGAGCACGCUUAGGCGUGUGACUGCGUACCUUUUGUAUAAUGGGUCAGCGACUUAUAUUCUGUAGCAAGGUUAACCGAAUAGGGGAGCCGAAGGGAAACCGAGUCUUAACUGGGCGUUAAGUUGCAGGGUAUAGACCCGAAACCCGGUGAUCUAGCCAUGGGCAGGUUGAAGGUUGGGUAACACUAACUGGAGGACCGAACCGACUAAUGUUGAAAAAUUAGCGGAUGACUUGUGGCUGGGGGUGAAAGGCCAAUCAAACCGGGAGAUAGCUGGUUCUCCCCGAAAGCUAUUUAGGUAGCGCCUCGUGAAUUCAUCUCCGGGGGUAGAGCACUGUUUCGGCAAGGGGGUCAUCCCGACUUACCAACCCGAUGCAAACUGCGAAUACCGGAGAAUGUUAUCACGGGAGACACACGGCGGGUGCUAACGUCCGUCGUGAAGAGGGAAACAACCCAGACCGCCAGCUAAGGUCCCAAAGUCAUGGUUAAGUGGGAAACGAUGUGGGAAGGCCCAGACAGCCAGGAUGUUGGCUUAGAAGCAGCCAUCAUUUAAAGAAAGCGUAAUAGCUCACUGGUCGAGUCGGCCUGCGCGGAAGAUGUAACGGGGCUAAACCAU
RNAcentral lists this ribosomal RNA (833 nucleotides) under Shigella sonnei. RNAcentral's name for it is "partial 23S ribosomal RNA". It matches the Rfam family "Bacterial large subunit ribosomal RNA", at positions 353 to 1190 of the family's 2925-position model. The record is from RNAcentral. Lineage: Bacteria; Pseudomonadati; Pseudomonadota; Gammaproteobacteria; Enterobacterales; Enterobacteriaceae.